This 1167-nucleotide ribosomal RNA is filed under the name Escherichia fergusonii. Its description in RNAcentral is "bacterial SSU rRNA". It matches the Rfam family "Bacterial small subunit ribosomal RNA", at positions 56 to 1216 of the family's 1533-position model. The record is from RNAcentral. Lineage: Bacteria; Pseudomonadati; Pseudomonadota; Gammaproteobacteria; Enterobacterales; Enterobacteriaceae.
UGCAGUUCGAACGGUAACAGGAAGCAAGCUUGCUUGCUUUGCUGACGAGUGGCGGACGGGUGAGUAAUGUCUGGGAAACUGCCUGAUGGAGGGGGAUAACUACUGGAAACGGUAGCUAAUACCGCAUAACGUCGCAAGACCAAAGAGGGGGACCUUCGGGCCUCUUGCCAUCGGAUGUGCCCAGAUGGGAUUAGCUAGUAGGUGGGGUAACGGCUCACCUAGGCGACGAUCCCUAGCUGGUCUGAGAGGAUGACCAGCCACACUGGAACUGAGACACGGUCCAGACUCCUACGGGAGGCAGCAGUGGGGAAUAUUGCACAAUGGGCGCAAGCCUGAUGCAGCCAUGCCGCGUGUAUGAAGAAGGCCUUCGGGUUGUAAAGUACUUUCAGCGGGGAGGAAGGGAGUAAAGUUAAUACCUUUGCUCAUUGACGUUACCCGCAGAAGAAGCACCGGCUAACUCCGUGCCAGCAGCCGCGGUAAUACGGAGGGUGCAAGCGUUAAUCGGAAUUACUGGGCGUAAAGCGCACGCAGGCGGUUUGUUAAGUCAGAUGUGAAAUCCCCGGGCUCAACCUGGGAACUGCAUCUGAUACUGGCAAGCUUGAGUCUCGUAGAGGGGGGUAGAAUUCCAGGUGUAGCGGUGAAAUGCGUAGAGAUCUGGAGGAAUACCGGUGGCGAAGGCGGCCCCCUGGACGAAGACUGACGCUCAGGUGCGAAAGCGUGGGGAGCAAACAGGAUUAGAUACCCUGGUAGUCCACGCCGUAAACGAUGUCGACUUGGAGGUUGUGCCCUUGAGGCGUGGCUUCCGGAGCUAACGCGUUAAGUCGACCGCCUGGGGAGUACGGCCGCAAGGUUAAAACUCAAAUGAAUUGACGGGGGCCCGCACAAGCGGUGGAGCAUGUGGUUUAAUUCGAUGCAACGCGAAGAACCUUACCUGGUCUUGACAUCCACGGAAGUUUUCAGAGAUGAGAAUGUGCCUUCGGGAACCGUGAGACAGGUGCUGCAUGGCUGUCGUCAGCUCGUGUUGUGAAAUGUUGGGUUAAGUCCCGCAACGAGCGCAACCCUUAUCCUUUGUUGCCAGCGGUCCGGCCGGGAACUCAAGGAGACUGCCGUGAUAACUGGAGGAAGGUGGGGAUGACGUCAGUCAUCAUGGCCCUUACGACAGGGCUA